GGCAUCUGGCUACCAUGCAAGUCGAGGGGCAGCGGGUUGAAAGCUUGCUUUCAAUGCCGGCGACCGGCGCACGGGUGCGUAACGCGUAUCAAACCUGCCUCAUACUCGGGGAUAGCCUUGCGAAAGUAAGAUUAAUACCCGAUGUUGUUGCUUUCUCGCAUGGGAGAGUAACCAAAGAUUUAUCGGUAUGAGAUGGUGAUGCGUCCGAUUAGGUAGUAGGCGGGGUAACGGCCCACCUAGCCUUCGAUCGGUAGGGGUUCUGAGAGGAAGGUCCCCCACACUGGAACUGAGACACGGUCCAGACUCCUACGGGAGGCAGCAGUGAGGAAUAUUGGUCAAUGGGCGAGAGCCUGAACCAGCCAAGUAGCGUGCAGGAUGACGGCCCUCCGGGUUGUAAACUGCUUUUAGUUGGGAAUAAAAAAAGGGACUUGUCCCUUCUUGUAUGUACCUUCAGAAAAAGGACCGGCUAAUUCCGUGCCAGCAGCCGCGGUAAUACGGAAGGUCCAGGCGUUAUCCGGAUUUAUUGGGUUUAAAGGGAGCGUAGGCGGAUUGUUAAGUCAGCGGUUAAAGGGUGUGGCUCAACCAUGCAUUGCCGUUGAAACUGGCGAUCUUGAGUGCAGACAGGGAUGCCGGAAUUCGUGGUGUAGCGGUGAAAUGCUUAGAUAUCACGAAGAACUCCGAUCGCGAAGGCAGGUGUCCGGGCUGCAACUGACGCUGAGGCUCGAAAGUGUGGGUAUCAAACAGGAUUAGAUACCCUGGUAGUCCACACAGUAAACGAUGUCAAUUAGCUGUUGGGCAACUUGAUUGCUUUAGUAGCGUAGCUAACGCGUGAAAUUGACCGCCCUGGGGGAGUACGGUCGCAAGAUUAAAACUCAAAGGAAUUGACGGA
This 889-nucleotide ribosomal RNA is filed under the name uncultured bacterium. Its description in RNAcentral is "bacterial SSU rRNA". It matches the Rfam family "Bacterial small subunit ribosomal RNA", at positions 38 to 917 of the family's 1533-position model. The record is from RNAcentral.